Molecule: unclassified non-coding RNA, 766 nt
Filed under: Hevea brasiliensis (rubber tree)
Lineage: Eukaryota; Viridiplantae; Streptophyta; Magnoliopsida; Malpighiales; Euphorbiaceae
Source: RNAcentral
AUUUGUUUUGAGCUUGCAACUGGUGAUGUCCUUUUUGACCCCCACAGCGGUGACAACUUUGAUAGGGAUGAGGACCACUUAGCAUUGAUGAUGGAGCUUCUUGGAAUGAUGCCGCGCAAGAUUGCCUUAGGUGGCCGCUAUUCUCGGGACUUCUUUAAUAGAUAUGGUGAUUUGAGGCACAUACGCAGAUUGCGUUUUUGGCCCUUGAAUAAGGUUCUCAUCGAGAAGUAUGAAUUCAAUGAAAAGGACGCAAAUGACAUGACCGAUUUCUUGGUCCCUAUCCUUGAUUUUGUCCCUGAGAAGCGGCCAACUGCUGCUCAGUGCCUUCUUCACCCAUGGAUCAGUUCAGGCCCUUGUCUCCUAGAGCCAUCUAUGCCAUCUUGUCAAAAUGAAGCCUUGGAAGGUGUAAACUCCGAAAAAAAAGGAGGGGAGAAGGAUGAGAGGGAGGCAAUGGAAAUAGGAAUUGGGAAUAUUGCAAUCAAUGCAGAUUCUAAAGCAGUAAAAGAUUCUCCAUCUGGUAGUAAUUUUUCCAAGACAGGCAUAGCUAGCUCUGCGAGGUAGGACUCUGGCAUUCAGGACUUGCAAUCUGUCCCUCCUUAUCAUCCAUAUGCAGUGUCCUGCAACAGCAGCUGGUAUUCUUGCAACGCGUGAUUACUUGAGGCUAUGGUUUGAUUUCUAUAGAUUUUGAAAGGGCAAGGAGUGAAAUGAUGCCAUGUGGCUUUGAUGCUACUUCCACUCUGGGCAGAGCAUUGCUUAAAAAAAAAAU